RNAcentral lists this small RNA (77 nucleotides) under Allobosea sp. RAC05. Its description in RNAcentral is "Bosea sp. RAC05 Makes More Granules Regulator RNA (mmgR)". It matches the Rfam family "Makes More Granules Regulator RNA (mmgR)". From Rfam's summary of the family: SuhB later renamed mmgR (makes more granules regulator) was a putative non-coding RNA found multiple times in the Agrobacterium tumefaciens genome and related alpha-proteobacteria. Other non-coding RNAs uncovered in the same analysis include: speF, ybhL, metA, and serC. Lineage: Bacteria; Pseudomonadati; Pseudomonadota; Alphaproteobacteria; Hyphomicrobiales; Alloboseaceae. The record is from Rfam by way of RNAcentral.
CUCGACUGCCCUUCCUGGGCGUUUCCUCCCUAGACUUGGCUGGCCGGUUCUCCGCGCCAGCCAUUUUUCUCGCAGUU